GAUGAACGCUGGCGGCGUGCUUAACACAUGCAAGUCGAACGGAAAGGCUCCUGCUUGCAGGGGUACUCGAGUGGCGAACGGGUGAGUAACACGUGGGUGAUCUGCCCUGCACUUCGGGAUAAGCCUGGGAAAUUGGGUCUAAUACCGGAUAGGACGAUGGUUUGGAUGCCAUUGUGGAAAGUUUUUUCGGUGUGGGAUGAGCUCGCGGCCUAUCAGCUUGUUGGUGGGGUAAUGGCCUACCAAGGCGUCGACGGGUAGCCGGCCUGAGAGGGUGUACGGCCACAUUGGGACUGAGAUACGGCCCAGACUCCUACGGGAGGCAGCAGUGGGGAAUAUUGCACAAUGGGCGCAAGCCUGAUGCAGCGACGCCGCGUGGGGGAUGACGGCCUUCGGGUUGUAAACUCCUUUCGCUAGGGACGAAGCGCAAGUGACGGUACCUGGAGAAGAAGCACCGGCUAACUACGUG
Molecule: ribosomal RNA, 466 nt
Filed under: uncultured bacterium
Lineage: Bacteria
Description: partial 16S ribosomal RNA
Rfam family: Bacterial small subunit ribosomal RNA
Source: RNAcentral